Mastomys coucha (southern multimammate mouse) is the source of this 798-nucleotide long non-coding RNA. RefSeq lists it as uncharacterized. The record is from RefSeq and is a predicted model, not a curated record. NCBI's taxonomy places the organism in Eukaryota, Metazoa, Chordata, Mammalia, Rodentia, Muridae. The transcript has 4 exons.
UGCCCGAGAGGUUGGUAUCUUAAGAUAAAGAACACUUAAAUUAUUUUUAGGCAUAUGUGCCUAUAAUGUGUUUGUAUACACUUGUGAGUGUAGGUCAAAAGAGCAUGUCAGAUUCCCUGGAGUUACAGACAAUUGUGUGAUACGCACUUUGUGCUGGGAACUGUACUUGGGUCCCCUGGAAGAGAAGUAUUUGUUCUUAUCUGCUGGCCAAACUAUCCCUCCAGGCCUGAGGUUGGUAUCUUGUGUCUGUAGAGUGAUUUUUCUUUUUAAAUAACUUGUUUUCGAUAGUAAAACUUUUUUCUUUAUUGCAUUAGGAUAAAUCUCAAACAGGAAGAGCACAAAAGCAUGAAUAACCAUGCACAUAUCAGAGUCUAUAAAUAGACUUUGUGGCUUUCACUCUACAUCUAUGUACUUCGGUGUCCCUCUGCGCAUCCAUCAGUCCCUUCAUUUUUGGAUGCAUUUCAAAAGGCAGUAGGAUCACACCUAGGACCUAACACCUGUUGGGGAUGCUGUGUAACCAGCCACUUCAUACUUCUGCCACCAUUGAUUGCUUCCCCACUGUGAUAGACUGUGCACACUCAAACUGCAAGCCAAAACAAACCCCACCCUCCUUAGCUGCCUUUCCCAGGUAGAAUAAUGAGGAAAGUAAGAAAGUUUCCUGUGAAGCUGGGAAUGAACUUACUAACCAGAAGAGGACAGUGGGCUAUGCAUUAAGAAACCCAGAAAAGACAAUGAAGAUGAGUUACAAGGUCAACUGCAAGGUCAGAAAAUAGAAACUUCUGGCACAAAGUGGCAUGU